UGGGGAAUCUUGGACAAUGGGGGCAACCCUGAUCCAGCCAUGCCGCGUGAGUGAUGAAGGCCUUAGGGUCGUAAAGCUCUUUCGCCUGUGAAGAUAAUGACGGUAGCAGGUAAAGAAACCCCGGCUAACUCCGUGCCAGCAGCCGCGGUAAUACGGAGGGGGUUAGCGUUGUUCGGAAUUACUGGGCGUAAAGCGCACGUAGGCGGACCAGAAAGUUGGGGGUGAAAUCCCGGGGGCUCAACCCCGGAACUGCCUCCAAAACUAUUGGUCUAGAGUUCGAGAGAGGUGAGUGGAAUUCCAAGUGUAGAGGUGAAAUUCGUAGAUAUUUGGAGGAACACCAGUGGCGAAGGCGGCUCACUGGCUCGAUACUGACGCUGAGGUGCGAAAGUGUGGGGAGCAAACAGGAUUAGAUACCCUGGUAGUCCACACCGUAAAACGAUGAAUGCCAGUCGUCGGGUAGCAUGCUAUUCGGUGACACACCUAACGGAUUAAGCAUUCCGCCUGGGGAGUACGGUCGCAAGGUUAAAACUCAAAUGAAUUG
Molecule: ribosomal RNA, 541 nt
Filed under: uncultured bacterium
Lineage: Bacteria
Description: bacterial SSU rRNA
Rfam family: Bacterial small subunit ribosomal RNA
Source: RNAcentral